GGCGUCCAGUGCAUCUCCGCACCCUCAUUGCGACAUCGCUCUGGAUGAUGAUCAGACAUCCUCCCUCCGGGAGCCACUGCUUUGGCAAAACAGCCCCGCAAAGUGGUGUGAGGCCUGUCUGUUCACAUGCACAUGGCUGCCGUGUCUCAGUGGUACCUGGGAAAGGAGCAAGUCUUCAUCUCCUGCAUGGAUGCAGGUGGCAGAGACUUUCUACUGGUUCCCAGGUCGCAGAGGAGAGCAGGGGAUUGGGAAGGGUCGUGGGCGCCCUGUGAAGCAGCCUUACAGAUAAGUAUCCCCUCACUAGUCCCCGGGGCGCCAGCCUGCUCUCUGCUGGUGCAUGAGCAAAGGAGGGCUGGCCCUGGAACCCCAAGAGGGAGGGCGGAUGUCUGGUGGAUGGCUCUGGCUCUUGGGGAUGGCAUUUGUAAUCUUGGGUGGGCUCCUUGGUCUUCCACAUACACAGAGGCCUCCGCAGUGUUUCCCACAGGACACGUUGCUUCUCUCUGCUCCAGGUUCUUGUGGCAGCAGGCUGAGAGUGUGCUACGAGAUGCCUCCCCUUCCUUGGAUCAGGCUCUGGAAGACAGAUGUAGUACAAUUAUCAGGAAAGAGCAAAUCUGAGCCCUGGGUUGAGAGUCAGGGUGUCUCUUCAGUCCUGGUGACUUACAGUGGCCUGGAUGAGUCCUGUACCUCCCUCUGACUCCAGACAUGUUCUCUGCUGUGGUCCAGGAAGGCUGGGGAUUGAGGUGGACAGAAGGGCUGCUUUCAUUCCCAGCCAUUGCCUUGAAUGUCUAUUGUAGUGCCUUGUAUGGCAAAGCAGGAUGUGUCUCAGGGUCCAGAGAGAGGGAUAGGCUUCCAGCAAUGGCAGCAGUACUGAGGUCAGAGCUCCAGGCCCCUACUCUGUCCGGACUCCCCCUCUGCUGGCCCUAAGUUGCCCAGCUUGCUCUGAGUUUUCCUGGAUCACUGAGGAAACCACAGUGUCCAUGUUUGUGAAGGAUGCUCUGGGUGGCAGGGAAGGAGGAGGCAGGUGGCUCUUGGACCAAAGCAGGGCAUGGGCGUGGUCCUCACCUGGGCCAGGAUUGGCUCUUCUGUCUUCCAGAGUCAUGCUGUGAUGUCCCUGUGGGGGAGGCGCUAGGCCUGUGAUGAUGUCAAGGAUGUCAGGUCGUGCUGGGUAUCCAGAGGAGAAUGACAGAGACGUGGUCCUACUCUCUGAGAUCUUCAGUAAGAAAACAUCACCACAGCUCAGCAAGGGGAUGUCUCCAGACCCUGGUCUGCUUUGGAGCCCUGGAUUUUGACCUCAUGGAAUGGGGAAGAACCUGUCUCCCUGAAGAUGCUGUCCUUUUCAAUGCCAGAAAUGGAGCCCCCUGGAGAAGAGCCAUUCUGGAAGAUACAUUACUUAGCAUCCACCCUGCCUUUGAUGAACAGAUCCAGGGUGGGAGAGUGGGAGAGGGCACUGGAGGCCCUUUCUGAUCCCAUGUGGACUGGAAUCUUCCUCCAGUGUCUGGAGGUGGGGUGGAGCUAAGCCCCCUCCUAAGGACUUGUGGGUAGGGCAGGGACUUAUGGGCAUGGAGGAGGAGCUGCUGGGGAGGAGCCUGAUGUCCGUCUUUUGUCUGUUUUUCUUUUCGUCUGUUUGCUGCUUGAAUGAUGGUUCUGUUUGGGUGCUUCCUGGGUGAGGCUUAGCUACCUGCUGGUUGUGGUGAGAGAAUUGCCAGUCCUGGCCUGGGAGGAGCCUGGCUAGUCUCUGUGCAGUCAGCAGGGGACCCUAGAAAGAGAAAGGGUGAGUCCUGAGAUAAGGAGACCCAGUAGGGAGGCUUACCGGCAGCCAUAUAUCUCCAGCUUCCUCAGUCACUAGAGUGGACUAUACCCUGCAGGGGCUACGGAGCCUUUGCCCAGGAGACAGGGCUGCCCAGACAUCACCUCCAUCUGUGUCCAGUAGCUACUGAGGGACUGAGGCUGGCAGACACCUGCACCCCUUCUCAGGGUGAGGGAGAAAGCCUUCUCCCUGGGGCAAGAGGGGCUGUGGGGCUUGGCAACAGAGACUCACACCCCAAUACUUGAGGCCCUCAGAGCAAGAUCAAGGUGCCAGAAGUAGCUUUAUGUUCUCAUGUGGCCUUUCCCUGUGUCCAGAGUGAGUGGGCUCCUGGGAUUUGUCCCACAAGGGCACAGUCAUUUGAGGACCUAGGCUUAAGACCUCACCUGAGCUUAGGCACACUUUGUCUCUCCAUACCUUCACAUUGGGGCUGGGGAAUCCAGCCUGUGCCUCUUCGGGGACACAGUUUGGACUCUGACAGGGUUGUUUCACAAACAUAAGUAGCUAGAGAAUAGAAUUCCCAUAUUGGGAGGAACCGAUGGCCCAUAGUUGCGGCUGCUGUGCCUGGUGUCUUGGGAACAUGGUGGCUGUAGCCAGUGCAGAGCCAGCUCAGGUCUUGGGGCACCCUCUGCUAUACAAAUCACCUUGCUCUACCAGCCUCCAUUUCCACUUUGUCAUGUGGGCCAUAUGCUCUCCUGGUGGCCCCGGCAGCUUUCCAAGGGCUCCUGUGCCUGGUGUUCCAUACAAUCAUGUCCAUGUGGAAAUUUGGGGAGGUUAGGUUGAGGGCCCAUCUGGGUAGAUAGGGGGCUUUCUGACCCAGAGGCAUUGCUGCUUGGGUCACCCGUGUCUGUCUUCCUGACAAGCCUGGGGCUGCGGCUGCUGUUGGUCUCUCUGGUAGAUUUCCAUGUUUUCCAGAAGGGAAGGAACUCUGUUUCCUGCUGCCAAUAUGGAGUCCACACUGGUUCUUUGCUGUGAGCCAGUGUGGGAACCUGGUGCUGUCCAGCCAUGCUUUAGACACUGGGGAUUUCCUAGUCAGCAGGGAGAGAAACAGUGCCCAGGAAGGGGUAGAUGAUGGGCAGUCAACAGAGGCCCCAAAAGGGAGAGACCGCAGCUCUGGCACUCUGGAGGGGUUUCCUACUCAGGCUGACCCAACCAGGGCCUUGGAGGCUGAGAAAGGUACGGUUUAACUGAGUACCCUUGGGAAGAAAUUAAAGCAAAAAAGCGGGAUUUUUCAGAGCCCAGAAAACGCUAGUGAGCAAGCUUCAGAUACUCAGGGAGGGAUAGGA
Long non-coding RNA from Alexandromys fortis (reed vole), 3090 nucleotides. RefSeq lists it as uncharacterized. NCBI's taxonomy places the organism in Eukaryota, Metazoa, Chordata, Mammalia, Rodentia, Cricetidae. The record is from RefSeq and is a predicted model, not a curated record. The transcript is spliced from 5 exons.